AGUGAACGCUGGCGGUAGGCCUAACACAUGCAAGUCGAACGGCAGCACAGUAAGAGCUUGCACUUACGGGUGGCGAGUGGCGGACGGGUGAGGAAUACAUCGGAAUCUACUUUUUCGUGGGGGAUAACGUAGGGAAACUUACGCUAAUACCGCAUACGACCUACGGGUGAGAGCAGGGGAUCUUCGGACCUUGCGCGAUUGAAUGAGCCGAUGUCGGAUUAGCUAGUUGGCGGGGUAAAGGCCCACCAAGGCGACGAUCCGUAGCUGGUCUGAGAGGAUGAUCAGCCACACUGGAACUGAGACACGGUCCAGACUCCUACGGGAGGCAGCAGUGGGGAAUAUUGGACAAUGGGCGCAAGCCUGAUCCAGCCAUACCGCGUGGGUGAAGAAGGCCUUCGGGUUGUAAAGCCCUUUUGUUGGGAAAGAAAAGCAGCAGGUUAAUACCCCGCUGUUCUGACGGUACCCAAAGAAUAAGCACCGGCUAACUUCGUG
This 492-nucleotide ribosomal RNA is filed under the name uncultured bacterium. RNAcentral describes it as "partial 16S ribosomal RNA". It matches the Rfam family "Bacterial small subunit ribosomal RNA", at positions 29 to 507 of the family's 1533-position model. The record is from RNAcentral.